RNAcentral lists this transfer RNA (85 nucleotides) under Methylomarinum sp. RNAcentral's name for it is "tRNA-Leu". It matches the Rfam family "tRNA". From Rfam's summary of the family: Transfer RNA (tRNA) molecules are approximately 80 nucleotides in length. Their secondary structure includes four short double-helical elements and three loops (D, anti-codon, and T loops). Lineage: Bacteria; Pseudomonadati; Pseudomonadota; Gammaproteobacteria; Methylococcales; Methylococcaceae. The record is from RNAcentral.
GCGAGCGUGGCGGAAUUGGUAGACGCGCUGGUUUUAGGUACCAGUAUCGUAAGAUGUGAGAGUUCAAGUCUCUCCGCUCGCACCA